Molecule: ribosomal RNA, 460 nt
Filed under: uncultured bacterium
Lineage: Bacteria
Description: partial 16S ribosomal RNA
Rfam family: Bacterial small subunit ribosomal RNA
Source: RNAcentral
CCUACGGGUGGCAGCAGUGAGGAAUAUUGGUCAAUGGACGAGAGUCUGAACCAGCCAAGUAGCGUGAAGGAUGACUGCCCUAUGGAUUGUAAACUUCUUUUAUAAAGGAAUAAACCGAGGCACGUGUGCCCUUUUGCAUGUACUUUAUGAAUAAGGAUCGGCUAACUCCGUGCCAGCAGCCGCGGUAAUACGGAGGAUCCGAGUGUUAUCCGGAUUUAUUGGGUUUAAAGGGUGCGUAGAUGGGUUGUUAAGUCAGUUGUGAAAGGUUGCGGCUCAACCGUAAAAUUGCAAUUGAUACUGGCAGUCUUGAGUACAGUUGAGGUAGGCGGAAUUCGUGGUGUAGCGGUGAAAUGCUUAGAGAUCACGAAGAACCCCGAUUGCGAAGGCAGCUUACUAAACUGUGACUGACAUUGAUGCUCGAAAGUGUGGGUAUCAAACAGGAUUAGAUACCCCUGUAGUC